Passer domesticus (house sparrow) is the source of this 3528-nucleotide long non-coding RNA. RefSeq lists it as uncharacterized. The transcript has 8 exons. Lineage: Eukaryota; Metazoa; Chordata; Aves; Passeriformes; Passeridae. The record is from RefSeq and is a predicted model, not a curated record.
UUUGUUUUGUUGGUUUUUUUAAACUGUUGUUCCUGUUUUACUAUGAAUUGCUUUCUCUGUACUCAGGUAUUUGAGGUACUAGUGUUAUGUCAUGGUUAAGUCUAUAAUCUCAAACUCUGGACAAAAUUGGUUGGGAGGAAACUUCAAACACUGGUGAUGAGUUAUGCAAGUCUGUACUAAAAAGAUACUGUCUGCGGAGAAUACAGCUAAAUUGUUAAAUUCCCUUUAAUUUUCAGGGAUCUCAGCCCAGCUACACUGCUGCCUGUAUGGGAUAUAUAAGGAUCACAUAUCUGCUUUGAGUUUCCAACUCAAUUUUCUCCUCAUUACCAUGCCUUUUCUUAUAUUCAAAAGAUAGAAUGACAUUUUGUGCAGGAUUCUUGUUAUUAAUAAGAAAUAUUACCACUUGUGAUUUUGUUUUCAGUUACAUUGAGUUUCUUCAUUUGUAUGAGAUUUCCUACUGCAUAGAAUCAUGGAAUCACUAUGAUUGCAAAAGACUUGCAGGGGUAAAUGAGUCCAGCUGUUAAUCCAACACCACUGUGUCCACCAUUAACCAUAUCCCCAAGUGCCAUAUCCAUGUGCCUUUUGAACACAGAGAUGAUGAUUGUGACACAUCCCUGGGUAGCCUGUUCCAAUUCCUGACCAAGUUCCAUGACAAGAAACAGAAAACCAGAGCUCUUUUCAACUAAGUACUGACACCAGCAGCCCAUGACCCUUCCAUAACAAUAUAUAGUCUGAAAGAGCAGAUAUAUUUCUCUCUUUUUGCUCAGUACAAACACCUGAAAGAAGGUUGUGAGACCAACAUCAAAGGCUUGACUCCUAGACUGCAGAAGAAAAUCUGUGUUUCACAGAGGCUCUGCCAUCUUAGAGGAACACACGUGACAAGUGGCUGAGCUUUAAAGAAGAAUCUGGGACCACCAGAAAACAAAUGUAACACAUGAAGGGUGUUCUUUGAAAAAUGGCAUUGGGGAUUUUAUGAUAUUUAGAGCUGUCAGGGUUCUUCUAUCCUCUCAUCUCUGAGGCUGGGCAAUUGCUGCACAAACAUAAAAAUAAGGAGAAUGACCAAGAACUGAUUGACAUCCUCAGCAGAAUGCCAGCUUUUCAGCUCCAGACUUGCAGACGUUCCUCUACUCCUCAGAGCCCCUGCCCUACAGCUCUUUCACUGUCUCUUUCCUGCCUGCCUGACAUUUGGGGAGCAGAGUAGCAAAAUCCCAUUUAUUUCUGCAUGGGCAGAUUUUUUUGUGACAUAAGAAGAUUUUAGGCUAGAGGAACAAUGCAACUGUAAGAAAGGAAAGGUCUUUUUUCAGAUCUGAAAUAAAAGAAAUAAAAUUUUUCAAAGGAAGUAUUGUUUACCUGAAGGUUUUCCUCAUCAUUGGGCAUAAUACAAGGUGCUUUAUUUUCCUUUACAGCACUGCACUGUAUUUUGCCUUCUACAUCUGGCACUGAAAACACAUUCUUCUUUUCCUUCUGAUAAAAUGAUGGAGUUUACUGGGUUUCACACUAAUACAGAAAGAAAUAAAACAGCAAUACCACAUAAGUGGGGAGGUUUUUGCAGUACCAGGACAUUCAUCUGGGUCUAUGUUGCUACCAACAAAUUAUUCCCCAGUGAUUUAAGCUUGAAUUUCACCCAUUACUGUUUAGCCUAUAGGACAUAUUCCUGGAACUCAAAAGAUUUUCAGAUUUUCAGCAUCAGUUUGUAUUCCUUCCCUCAGGAAAACUCAAAACAAAAUAGUAAAUUUCACCCCAAAACAGACCAUAUGAAAGGCUGAAAUUCAACAAAUGGCUUCAAAAUAAGCAAUUAAAUAAAAUAGUCCACUCUGCCAUUUUGUCACAGUAUCUAAAAGAGAUCUGAUGCUUAAUAGAAGAGAGAUCUCCCCUAAAAAAUCAAUCUUACUAUAAAAGCAGCACCAUGUCAAUAACGGUGGUCUUGAUACAAAAAUAAAACAUUCCUAAAGUGUAUCAUUAUAUGAAAUGUCAAGGGUUUUUUUUUUGUUUUGUGUGGGUUCUGGUUUUUUUGGUUUUUGGGGUUUUUUACACAUGGCAUUUUUCUACCAAUAUUCCUCUUUUCAUCUAUAGAGUAAGGAUCUCACUUAUUCCUUCCUGGGUAAUUAAAUCAGUGUUAAUUAAACUGAGUGUGCCAGAACUCAUGAAAUUUCUACCUACCCCUGUCUAAACUGAGAAAGUUGAAAAUCUUUUUCCAGGUGCUGCCCAGUCCUUAUAGGUCUCAGUUUGGCAAAGCUCUUUCUCCAUUUCUUUGGUCAUAUUGUACCUCUAACAUAGAAUUUUCCUGCAUUGAGGCAAGGCAGAAGUGGAAAGAGCAGUUUGAACUGAAUGUACAUUUGUCUUUAUCUCCUUCUCUUAUUCCUGUAUUGUUUUGCAUCACCCAGAAGAUGUUUUGGCAUUUGGUUUGGGAUUUCAGUUGCUUGUUUGUGUUUUUCUUUAAUAAGCAACAUCAUAUGGACUAUUACUGUGCAGCAGAUGAGGUAACUUAGGACAGAAAUAAAGUGCAGUGCUCACAUAGUUAAUGCUAUUUCAGGGAUCUAUGUGUAAAAAUCAAUUUUAGUUAUUCACAACCUUUUUUCUUCUUUCCUCACUCAAUUACCUUAUUGACCACUUAUUUAUAAACUAAAAAAGACACAUAUUCUCUCUGUCUGUUCCACAGAGGAAACAAAAAAUGGUCUUAUUUAAUCCUGAUGUUGGUGGAAUUCUACCAAGGGAAAAUUUGGCUCAAAUGUUCCUGAAUAAUAUCAUUCAAUGAAAAUAGAUUUUACUUUGGCUUAGUUAUUCAUUUUACUUCAUUUUAUUCUUAAAAUAUAUGCUUGCACAUAAUCUCACAACAUGCAGAUGUCUGGUCCUGACUGUUAAAAUUCAAGCUAAUUAUUAUUUCACAUAUGCAUAAUAAUAUUUAAAAGAAAUAACAUUUAACAUAGUUGCAUAAUUCUUAUAUAGUAAAGUCCUCAUUUUGAGAAGUGAGGAUGGGGAAAGUAUAUUUUUAAGUGAGGUACUGGACAAUGAAAUAAAUAUGUAAAUUAAACAUUUUAAAAGUUAUUUUUCCCAGAAAAUAAAAGUGGGUUGGUUUCAUAGCUGCUAAACACCAUUACCUGCUAUUGAGUUCCACUGCAGAGAGUGGAUUAACAGCUGUUGUCAGAAAUUGUUGGUGUAAUGGAAUUAUUUAUGGUGUCAUCUGUUUAAUUCUUGUGGGAGAUGUUCUCACAGUCUGUCAAUGAAGUGCAUGAAUACAGCUAAAGCAUGGUUUAUUGACUAUUCCAAAUUAUUUAAUUUUAUGUAUGGUAAAACAGGCAAAUUUGAAAGUUUUUUGCCUUAUCUGGCUUCUCCAAGUUUAUCUAAUGAAUGUUAUAAUGGUUUUGAAAUGUGGCUUUCCCUUUUUCUACAUCUGAUCAGACUUCCUUGGUAUCACUGUGGGGUUUGCACAGAAGUUCACAUUUAACAAAUACAACAGAACACUUUUAUUACAAAGAGCACUACCUUGUAAAGAUUGAUGGAGAUUAAUUCUAGUCCACUCAUUCUCAU